Molecule: long non-coding RNA, 3934 nt
Organism: Oncorhynchus keta (chum salmon)
Lineage: Eukaryota; Metazoa; Chordata; Actinopteri; Salmoniformes; Salmonidae
Exons: 10
Source: RefSeq, a predicted model, not a curated record
UGGACCGAGGCAGAAAAACAUCACAAACACCUUUAUUCAUCAACUACAAUGAUAUCAACCAGGAAUUACACCUGCUGAAAUGGUACUGACAGCAACAGACAGCAUAUAGACAGAGGACAGGUAGUCUACAUAUAGACAGCAUAUAGACAGAUGACUUUACAGAUAGUCUACAUAUAGACAGAAUAUAGACAGAGGACUUUACAGGUAGUUUACAUAUAGACAGAAUAUAGACAGAGGACUUUACAGGUAGUUUACAUAUAGACAGAAUAUAGACAGAGGACUUUACAGGUAGUUUACAUAUAGACAGAGGACUUUACAGGUAGUUUACAUAUAGACAGAGGACUUUACAGGUAGUUUACAUAUAGACAGAGGACUUUACAGGUAGUUUACAUAUAGACAGAAUAUAGACAGAGGACUUUACAGGUAGUUUACAUAUAGACAGAAUAUAGACAGAGGACUUUACAGGUAGUUUACAUAUAGACAGAAUAUAGACAGAGGACUUUACAGGUAGUUUACAUAUAGACAGAGGACUUUACAGGUAGUCUACAUAUAGACAGAAUAUAGACAGAGGACUUUACAGAUAGUCUACAUAUAGACAGAAUAUAGACAGAGGACUUUACAGGUAGUUUACAUAUAGACAGAAUAUAGACAGAGGACUUUACAGGUAGUUUACAUAUAGACAGAAUAUAGACAGAGGACUUUACAGGUAGUUUACAUAUAGACAGAAUAUAGACAGAGGACUUUACAGGUAGUCUACAUAUAGACAGAAUAUAGACAGAGGACUUUACAGGUAGUUUACAUAUAGACAGAGGACUUUACAGGUAGUCUACAUAUAGACAGAAUAUAGACAGAGGACUUUACAGGUAGUUUACAUAUAGACAGAGGACUUUACAGGUAGUUUACAUAUAGACAGAAUAUAGACAGAGGACUUUACAGGUAGUUUACAUAUAGACAGAGGACUUUACAGAUAGUCUACAUAUAGACAGAAUAUAGACAGAGGACUUUACAGGUAGUUUACAUAUAGACAGAAUAUAGACAGAGGACUUUACAGGUAGUUUACAUAUAGACAGAAUAUAGACAGAGGACUUUACAGAUAGUCUACAUAUAGACAGAAUAUAGACAGAGGACUUUACAGGUAGUUUACAUAUAGACAGAAUAUAGACAGAGGACUUUACAGAUAGUUUACAUAUAGACAGCAUAUAGACAGAGGACUUUACAGAUAGUUUACAUAUAGACAGAAUAUAGACAGAGGACUUUACAGGUAGUUUACAUAUAGACAGAAUAUAGACAGAGGACUUUACAGGUAGUUUACAUAUAGACAGAAUAUAGACAGAGGACUUUACAGGUAGUUUACAUAUAGACAGAGGACUUUACAGAUAGUUUACAUAUAGACAGGAUAUAGACAGAGGACUUUACAGGUAGUUUACAUAUAGACAGAAUAUAGACAGAGGACUUUACAGGUAGUUUACAUAUAGACAGAAUAUAGACAGAGGACUUUACAGGUAGUUUACAUAUAGACAGAAUAUAGACAGAGGACUUUACAGAUAGUCUACAUAUAGACAGAGGACUUUACAGGUAGUUUACAUAUAGACAGCAUAUAGACAGAGGACUUUACAGGUAGUUUACAUAUAGACAGAAUAUAGACAGAGGACUUUACAGGUAGUUUACAUAUAGACAGAGGACUUUACAGAUAGUUUACAUAUAGACAGGAUAUAGACAGAGGACUUUACAGGUAGUUUACAUAUAGACAGAAUAUAGACAGAGGACUUUACAGGUAGUUUACAUAUAGACAGAAUAUAGACAGAGGACUUUACAGGUAGUUUACAUAUAGACAGAGGACUUUACAGGUAGUUUACAUAUAGACAGAAUAUAGACAGAGGACUUUACAGGUAGUUUACAUAUAGACAGAGGACUUUACAGGUAGUUUACAUAUAGACAGAGGACUUUACAGAUAGUUUACAUAUAGACAGAAUAUAGACAGAGGACUUUACAGGUAGUUUACAUAUAGACAGAAUAUAGACAGAGGACUUUACAGGUAGUUUACAUAUAGACAGAAUAUAGACAGAGGACUUUACAGGUAGUUUACAUAUAGACAGAGGACUUUACAGGUAGUUUACAUAUAGACAGAGGACUUUACAGGUAGUUUACAUAUAGACAGAAUAUAGACAGAGGACUUUACAGGUAGUUUACAUAUAGACAGAAUAUAGACAGAGGACUUUACAGGUAGUUUACAUAUAGACAGAGGACUUUACAGGUAGUUUACAUAUAGACAGAGGACUUUACAGGUAGUUUACAUAUAGACAGAGGACUUUACAGGUAGUCUACAUAUAGACAGAAUAUAGACAGAGGACUUUACAGGUAGUUUACAUAUAGACAGAAUAUAGACAGAGGACUUUACAGGUAGUUUACAUAUAGACAGAGGACUUUACAGGUAGUUUACAUAUAGACAGGAUAUAGACAGAGGACUUUACAGGUAGUUUACAUAUAGACAGAAUAUAGACAGAGGACUUUACAGGUAGUUUACAUAUAGACAGAGGACUUUACAGGUAGUCUACAUAUAGACAGAGGACUUUACAGGUAGUCUACAUAUAGACAGAAUAUAGACAGAGGACUUUACAGGUAGUUUACAUAUAGACAGAGGACUUUACAGGUAGUCUACAUAUAGACAGGAUAUAGACAGAGGACUUUACAGGUAGUUUACAUAUAGACAGAAUAUAGACAGAGGACUUUACAGGUAGUUUACAUAUAGACAGAAUAUAGACAGAGGACUUUACAGGUAGUUUACAUAUAGACAGGAUAUAGACAGAGGACUUUACAGGUAGUUUACAUAUAGACAGAGGACUUUACAGGUAGUUUACAUAUAGACAGAAUAUAGACAGAGGACUUUACAGGUAGUUUACAUAUAGACAGAAUAUAGACAGAGGACUUUACAGGUAGUUUACAUAUAGACAGAAUAUAGACAGAGGACUUUACAGGUAGUUUACAUAUAGACAGGAUAUAGACAGAGGACUUUACAGGUAGUUUACAUAUAGACAGAAUAUAGACAGAGGACUUUACAGGUAGUUUACAUAUAGACAGAAUAUAGACAGAGGACUUUACAGGUAGUUUACAUAUAGACAGAAUAUAGACAGAGGACUUUACAGAUAGUCUACAUAUAGACAGAGGACUUUACAGGUAGUUUACAUAUAGACAGAAUAUAGACAGAGGACUUUACAGAUAGUCUACAUAUAGACAGAGGACUUUACAGGUAGUUUACAUAUAGACAGAAUAUAGACAGAGGACUUUACAGGUAGUUUACAUAUAGACAGAAUAUAGACAGAGGACUUUACAGGUAGUUUACAUAUAGACAGAGGACUUUACAGGUAGUUUACAUAUAGACAGAAUAUAGACAGAGGACUUUACAGGUAGUCUACAUAUAGACAGAAUAUAGACAGAGGACUUUACAGGUAGUUUACAUAUAGACAGAGGACUUUACAGGUAGUUUACAUAUAGACAGAAUAUAGACAGAGGACUUUACAGGUAGUUUACAUAUAGACAGAGGACUUUACAGGUAGUUUACAUAUAGACAGAGGACUUUACAGGUAGUUUACAUAUAGACAGAGGACUUUACAGAUAGUUUACAUAUAGACAGAAUAUAGACAGAGGACUUUACAGGUAGUUUACAUAUAGACAGAAUAUAGACAGAGGACUUUACAGGUAGUUUACAUAUAGACAGAAUAUAGACAGAGGACUUUACAGGUAGUUUACAUAUAGACAGAAUAUAGACAGAGGACUUUACAGAUAGUUUACAUAUAGACAGAAUAUAGACAGAGGACUUUACAGGUAGUUUACAUAUAGACAGAAUAUAGACAGAGGACUUUACAGAUAGUUUACAUAUAGACAGAAUAUAGACAGAGGACUUUACAGGUAGUUUACAUAUAGACAGAAUAUAGAC